AUCUAUGGCCAUACCACCCUAAAUGUACCCGAUCUCACCUGAUCUCGCAAGCUAAGCAGGAUCAGUCCUGGUUAGUACUUGGAUGGGAGCCUGCCUGGGAAUACUAGGUUGCUGUAGCCU
Molecule: ribosomal RNA, 120 nt
Filed under: Propithecus coquereli (Coquerel's sifaka)
Lineage: Eukaryota; Metazoa; Chordata; Mammalia; Primates; Indriidae
Source: RNAcentral